RNAcentral lists this unclassified non-coding RNA (361 nucleotides) under fungal sp. RNAcentral describes it as "partial internal transcribed spacer region". The stretch from base 1 to 46 matches the Rfam family "Eukaryotic small subunit ribosomal RNA", at positions 1786 to 1831 of the family's 1831-position model. The record is from RNAcentral. Lineage: Eukaryota; Fungi.
AAGUCGUAACAAGGUCUCCGUAGGUGAACCUGCGGAGGGAUCAUUAACACGUUUUAACAACGUACCCACCAAACCAUUGGAAACGCGAGGAGUGAUUGUUGAACUUGACCUGCUCAAGUGCAGCAAUCCCGCCGCAGUUCUCUCCCUCCGCUGUACAGACCAACACCGGUCUAGACAGUGGUGGCUAUUCUCCCUUCUUCACACCCUUUUCCAACUUCACUAUUGGAGCUGCGUUGACCUAGGUUGACCUAGUUCCGAUAUUGUCCUUAACUGCCCUGUAUUCUAUCAAGCUUGCUUGUCUUGCUUGGUAGUUGAUAUUUAAUGCAAAGCACAACUCUUAGCAACGGAUAUCUUGGUUCUC